AGCUGCAUUCAAAGCUGUUCUGGGCUGC
RNAcentral lists this non-coding RNA (28 nucleotides) under Homo sapiens (human). The record is from RNAcentral. Lineage: Eukaryota; Metazoa; Chordata; Mammalia; Primates; Hominidae.